Molecule: ribosomal RNA, 495 nt
Filed under: uncultured bacterium
Lineage: Bacteria
Description: partial 16S ribosomal RNA
Rfam family: Bacterial small subunit ribosomal RNA
Source: RNAcentral
GACGAACGCUGGCGGCGUGCCUAAUACAUGCAAGUAGAACGCUGAAGGAGGAGCUUGCUUCUCUGGAUGAGUUGCGAACGGGUGAGUAACGCGUAGGUAACCUGCCUGGUAGCGGGGGAUAACUAUUGGAAACGAUAGCUAAUACCGCAUAAUAGCAGUUGUUGCAUGAUAACUGUUUGAAAGGUGCAAUUGCAUCACUACCAGAUGGACCUGCGUUGUAUUAGCUAGUUGGUGGGGUAACGGCUCACCAAGGCGACGAUACAUAGCCGACCUGAGAGGGUGCUCGGCCACACUGGGACUGAGACACGGCCCAGACUCCUACGGGAGGCAGCAGUAGGGAAUCUUCGGCAAUGGACGGAAGUCUGACCGAGCAACGCCGCGUGAGUGAAGAAGGUUUUCGGAUCGUAAAGCUCUGUUGUAAGAGAAGAACGAGUGUGAGAGUGGAAAGUUCACACUGUGACGGUAUCUUACCAGAAAGGGACGGCUAACUACGUG